UGGGGAAUAUUGCGCAAUGGGGGAAACCCUGACGCAGCGACGCCGCGUGGGUGAUGAAGGCCUUCGGGUCGUAAAGCCCUGUCGUAGGGAAAGAACUGGUUGCAGGCUAAUAUCCUGCAGCCUUGACGGUACCCUACAAGAAAGCACCGGCUAACUCCGUGCCAGCAGCCGCGGUAAUACGGAGGGUGCAAGCGUUGUUCGGAAUUACUGGGCGUAAAGAGCGUGUAGGCGGCUGACCAAGUCCGGUGUGAAAGCCCGGGGCUUACCCCCGGAAGUGCGCUGGAAACUGGUCGACUAGAGUAUGGGAGAGGGAAGUGGAAUUCCUGGUGUAGCGGUGAAAUGCGUAGAUAUCAAGAGGAACACCUGAGGUGAAGACGGGUUGCUGGGCUGACACUGACGCUGAGGCGCGAAAGCCAGGGGAGCAAACGGGAUUAGAUACCCCAGUAGUCCCUGAGCGGGCUGGCAAGGCGCAU
Molecule: ribosomal RNA, 473 nt
Filed under: uncultured bacterium
Lineage: Bacteria
Description: bacterial SSU rRNA
Rfam family: Bacterial small subunit ribosomal RNA
Source: RNAcentral